AGGUGUGACAUAUACUCGCAAGAGGAAUGCGCAAAUCCCACGCUGCCGAGAAAAGCUUCUAGCGGUAAAGUAGAGACUGCCCGUACUGGAAACCGACACAGGUGGUCAGGAUGAGAAAUCUAAAGCGGACAGGCUAACUCUCGUUAAGGAACUCUGCAAAAUGGCCCCGUAACUUCGGGAGAAGGGGUGCCUUUAGGCGUGAGUAUACAAGCGAUACAAAGCGCUUUGAGGUCGCAGUGAAGAGGCUCAAGCAACUGUUUAACAAAAACACAGGUCUAUGCGAAGCUGUAAGGCGAAGUAUAUGGGCUGACACCUGCCCAGUGCCGGAAGGUUAAGAGGAGGAGUGAGAGCUCCGAAUUGAAGCCCCGGUGAACGGCGGCCGUAACUAUAACGGUCCUAAGGUAGCGAAAUUCCUUGUCGGGUAAGUUCCGACCUGCACGAAUGGUGUAAUGAUUUGAGCGCUGUCUUGACGGGAGGCCUGGUGAAAUUGUAUUACCGGUGAAGAUACCGGUUACCUACAGUAGGACGGAAAGACCCCAUGGAGCUUUACUGUAGCUUGGUAUUGGGUUUUGGCAUGGCAUGUAUAGGAUAGUUGGGAGACUGGGAAGGAAUGGCGCUAGCUGUACCGGAGUCAUCGGUGGAAUACCAACCAUUCCCUGCUGAAAUUCUAAUCUGUACUUUGGAGGUACGGAGACAGUGCUAGGUGGGCAGUUUGACUGGGGCGGUCGCCUCCGAAAGAGUAACGGAGGCGUUCAAAGGUUCUCUCAGGUUGGAUGGAAAUCAACCGCAGAGUGCAAUGGCAAAAGAGAGCUUGACUGCAAGACUGACGGGUCGAGCAGAUGCGAAAGCAGGACAUAGUGAUCCGGCGAUUCCG
Molecule: ribosomal RNA, 874 nt
Filed under: Fusobacterium necrophorum
Lineage: Bacteria; Fusobacteriati; Fusobacteriota; Fusobacteriia; Fusobacteriales; Fusobacteriaceae
Description: partial 23S ribosomal RNA
Rfam family: Bacterial large subunit ribosomal RNA
Source: RNAcentral